RNAcentral lists this long non-coding RNA (3222 nucleotides) under Amphimedon queenslandica. RNAcentral's name for it is "uncharacterized LOC109586669, transcript variant X3". The record is from RNAcentral. Lineage: Eukaryota; Metazoa; Porifera; Demospongiae; Haplosclerida; Niphatidae.
GUCCGCAACGAGACCCUCAAGUGUACCAGAUUUAAAAUCCUAAAAAAUCCACUUGGAUUUUUACCGGAUUCUCCAGGAUUUUUGGAUUUUUUUUGGAUUUCCUAGAUUACUGGAUUUUCAAGUAUUUCAUAUGGAUUUUCACUUGAAUUAUUGGAUUUACUGAUACUUAUUUUGGAUUUUUGGUAGGAUAAUUGGAUUUUUGGAUUUUUUAUCUGGAUUUUAGGCCUGGAUAGUCCAAGUAUGGGUGUGUAAUAAGAUCACAGAUCUGUCAGAGUGCUGGACAACUUUUACCGGUACCUCGACUUUCACAGAGCCAUGCUUUGUCUUCACUGAAUGGUGGGAUACAAUCUUCAUGAUACCAGUUGCGCAACACCUUUCACAUUGAACCAUUUUACGCCCAUCAUCUUCCCUCUUGCACGAUGGACAAUAGUAUAUAACUAUUUGGAAAAACGAGACACAACUUUGAGGGUCUAUACCAUUGGCCAGGGCCGUCGCAUUGGCAAUGGCAUAAAGACCACAGUCUGAGGAGCCACUUUGUUUUGUAACUGGAACACAGUUCACUUUUACUUGAAUGAAGCCAUUCUCAGCUAGGAGAAACGAUAAAAUUCGCUCGGAAUUUUCUGGAAGUUUUGAGUACACUGAAUCAUAAUAAUUCAGGCAGCACUCUGAAUCAUUUUCAGAUGGAAUGGAACUGACAACUGCCCAAUGGUGUCUCGUGAGUUGAUAGCAAGUGGACUGUAGGCCAUUCAAGUGAGGAAAACUAGCUUUUAGUAAAAACUGUGCAGCCGAUAUGUGAACAUCAGUGAUUCUUCUUCCAUUUGCAAUAUCCAAUUUAUCUUUUACUUUUAAAAGAUCACCAUCAAUUAUCAUAGGGUUUGAGGCUGAACCAGAAGUUGAUGCUUGACUGGGCAUGAGAGAAGUCGAGGUGCAUUUUUCACAAGCUGAGGCAAUGUAGUUCAUACACUCUGGAGUAACUUUAAAUUCAUUGGUUCUGUACCAUCGUAAAAGACACAGAAGUCACCUAUUGCUACAUGAUUACUGAUGAGUGGUUGAUUUUCGACUCGAUCUGACAUUAUUGUUGAAAGCUUGGUAGUCUCUUUGGAUUCAUUUGGCUGUUGUGAUCGAACACGGAAGAUUCUGUCACUGGACACCCUCUCUCCAUCAUUGAGUAGCCAUACUGCUGUCUUUUUACGGAUGAAGAUACUCCUGCCUUCAACAAUGACUGGUACAAAAAGGGAGUUGUUGGGAUCUUUAUCUGGUGUCAUUAUUUCAUUCUGAUACGUUGGAAUUGCUACUGAAGGAGAAAAACUUUUGUCAAGGUAGCUGUUUACUGAAGCAUCGACAAUUUCAAGGUAUACUUUGGUACCUACUGCAUCAGCUGCAAAGUUUUGCUUGUCUCUAGAGUCUAAAUCUCUCCUUCUCAUCCCAUGUUUCUCUUUCCCAUAUAUGUUUGUAAGAAUGUGUAGUACAUCAGUGGCUGAAAACUUGUUGUCACUCCCAAUGCAGGCCAAACAGAAGGAUGGAACACCCUCUUUCAGAGAUUGCACCAUGUAUACAUAAGCAUAUUUUGCUAUAGUAUGCUGCUGAAAAUAACUCUCAAUAUCUUCGAAUGUAUUAACAUUGAAGGAAUUACGUAAAGUAGCGUCCUCAGCCAGAGCAACCAUAAAUGGAGCUUUGUGUUUCACAAGAUGCUGUAGUAGAUCAUCAAAGCGAAAAUAUCCUUCACGCAAAGGUGUUACUUGAGAAGAAGUGGCUAUUGAGGAAAUAAUUGAAUGCAGUUUCUCAUUCUGUUUUACUAACUCCUGCUAUUUCUAAUUUUCUGAGCUUUCGAGCAGUACGAGAUUGGGACCAGUUUGAAGACUGUUUUUUAACCCCUCCUCUUAAAACAGAGGAGGGGCUAAUUAAAAAACCUGGUUUGUUGAAGGUUUUUCUUGUUUGGAUUGUAAUGACUGCUCUGAUGGCAACUGAGAUGGCAUUGUUAAUAGUGAAGGAGAAGGGGAGUGAGAAAGAGGCGAUGCUGUAGGAAUCGGUUGAAGAGGAGACACCUCUGCAUGAUAACUUUCAGUUGCUAUUUCAGUAUGAAACAACUCUAAUGGUGGAGAGUCAUCGUUGGACUGUGAACAGUGAGUAAUCGGGAAGAGUGAUUGUGAUGUUGCUGGUAGUGAUGAUGGAGAAUCAUCACUGGACUGUAAACAAUGAGUAAUCGGGAAGAGCAAUUGUGAUGUUGCCUCUUCAGCUGUUGCUUCAUUUGUGGAUAAUGUAUUACCAGUACUUGUGUCUGUGGAGCUUGUGAUGAUGUAGUCUCAUCAUGUACUAGUGAUGAUGCUUUGCGCUUCUUUGCUGGAGGGCCAGAUAUUGCUUGAACGGGUAAUCGCUGGCCCUUAAAGGAUGAAAUGAACUUCUUGAUAAUAACACGGUGUCCUGGAGGAAAUUUGAAUGGCUCGGAUAUACAUUUAUUUCGUCGCAUACAAUGUAGCAGUUCAUCCUUUCUCUCAUCAAUAUAUUUCUCAAGGUCACUAUGGAGCACAGAAGUUGAGUUUUGGAUUGUGUGAGUAUACAGCUAUUUUACCUGUUAAUCUCUGCCAUAGCUGCUAAAGAUAGGUUGCUUGCUAUCACUACAGCUAAUUGAGUAAUAGUAUGUCAAGCUAAGUUUCAAACCUACAUGUGGAUAAUUUGUAAUAAGUUUGUGAUUUGUCAUUAUUUGUCUCAUUAUUGAUCUUACUCUAAAUAAUUUUGAUAUUAUAGAGUCCAGAAAUAGUAUUCAACGGAGUGAAGUGAGGAUGGUGAAUUAUCCUUGGAAUUAUCUAUGCUAGAUUUUUUAAAGUUGUUUUCAUAACAUGAACAUUAUUGGCUUUAUCUUACCCUAGGUUUUUCAGACAAAUUCAGUCUUUAGACCAAAAUGCUGUUUCUGUUACCCUGCCAGUAACUUGAGAUAAGAUCAAGGAUCAGGAAAGAAAGAGCAAAUGAGAAGAAGGAAUCGAGAGCAAGGAAGUUGGACUAUCACAAAGACUUUAAAGUUUCAGUAGCUCUGCCUUUAGCAUGAGCAUGUGCACUACUACUAAAUAUAGCAGCUCAAACUGCUAUAUUUAGUAUCGAUGCAUGUUCAUGCUUGGUUUCACACUCAGUACUUGUGACUGCUGAGAUGUACUGUUUGUUCCUAUUUUAGAAUCAUUAUACUAACUGAAAAACCACUAUCACUAAUGACUUAUUAAUUAAUGUUUU